GAUGAACGCUGGCGGCGUGCCUAAUACAUGCAAGUCGAGCGAACAGACGAGGAGCUUGCUCCUCUGACGUUAGCGGCGGACGGGUGAGUAACACGUGGAUAACCUACCUAUAAGACUGGGAUAACUUCGGGAAACCGGAGCUAAUACCGGAUAAUAUAUUGAACCGCAUGGUUCAAUAGUGAAAGACGGUUUUGCUGUCACUUAUAGAUGGAUCCGCGCCGCAUUAUCUAGUUGGUAAGGUAACGGCUUACCAAGGCAACGAUGCGUAGCCGACCUGAGAGGGUGAUCGGCCACACUGGAACUGAGACACGGUCCAGACUCCUACGGGAGGCAGCAGUAGGGAAUCUUCCGCAAUGGGCGAAAGCUUGACGGAGCAACGCCGCGUGAGUGAUGAAGGUCUUCGGAUCGUAAAACUCUGUUAUUAGGGAAGAACAAAUGUGUAAGUAACUAUGCACGUCUUGACGGUACCUAAUCAGAAAGCCACGGCUAACUACGUG
RNAcentral lists this ribosomal RNA (497 nucleotides) under uncultured bacterium. RNAcentral's name for it is "partial 16S ribosomal RNA". It matches the Rfam family "Bacterial small subunit ribosomal RNA", at positions 28 to 507 of the family's 1533-position model. The record is from RNAcentral.